This 536-nucleotide long non-coding RNA is filed under the name Nicotiana tabacum (common tobacco). RNAcentral describes it as "long non-coding RNA (NTAB_LNC000585)". Lineage: Eukaryota; Viridiplantae; Streptophyta; Magnoliopsida; Solanales; Solanaceae. The record is from RNAcentral.
CGAGAUCAGGUGUAUGAUGAGAAGGCCAAUACUAUCACCAUUACUGUAUUGUGUUGCAAUCCUGAAAAAAUUCGUGACAAAUUGUGUUGCAAAGGAGGGGGAGUGAUCAAGAGUAUCGAGAUCAAAGAGCCUUCAAAGCCUAAGGCUCCUGAAAAGCCCAAGGAGCCCGCAAAACCUAAAGAACCGGAGAAACCUAAAGUGCCCGAGAAGCCCAAAGUGCCUGAGAAGCCUAAAGAACCAGAAAAGCCCAAGCAGCCGGAGAAACCCAAAGAGCCCGAGAAGCCUAAGGAGCCUGAGAAGCCAAAAGAACCGGAAAAACCAAAGGAACCUACGAAACCCAAGGAACCCGAGAAGCCCAAAGAGCCUGAAAAGCCCAAGGAACCCGAGAAGCCCAAACAACCUGAAAAGCCCAAAGAACCUGAGAAGCCCAAGGAAGCUCCUAAACCCGCACCGGUAGCUCCACCACCACAACCACCACCACCGUAUGCUCCAGAGCCAGUGAUAGUGAUGCCAGUACAAGGAUACCCGCAACAACC